GCCGAGCUAGCUCAGUUGGUAGAGCAGCUGAUUUGUAAUCAGCAGGUCGCGGGUUCAAGCCCUGUGCUCGGCUCCA
Molecule: transfer RNA, 76 nt
Filed under: Firmicutes bacterium HGW-Firmicutes-15
Lineage: Bacteria; Bacillati; Bacillota
Description: tRNA-Thr
Rfam family: tRNA
About the family: Transfer RNA (tRNA) molecules are approximately 80 nucleotides in length.
Source: RNAcentral